GGUUCAGGGAUCAGAGUCAGGUUCAGGGUUCAGGGAUCAGAGUCAGAUUCAGGGUUCAGUAGACGUGGACGCUGAGUGCGGCUGAGUGCGCCGAGGGACAUGGGCGCUGAGUGCGGCUGAGUGCGCCGAGGGAUGUGGCAGGUGCAGCGUUCAUGUAGCAAGUGCGGAUUUCCAUCAGUCAGGUUCAGGGUUCAGGGAUCAGAGUCAGGUUCAGUAGACGUGGACGCUGAGUGCGGCUGAGUGCGCCGAGGGAUGUGGCAGGUGCAGCGUUCAUGUAGCAAGUGCGGAUUUCCAUCAGUCAGGUUCAGGGUUCAGGGAUCAGAGUCAGGUUCAGGGUUCAGGGAUCAGAGUCAGGUUCAGGGUUCAGGGAUCAGAGUCAGGUUCAGGGUUCAGGGAUCAGAGUCAGG
This 407-nucleotide long non-coding RNA is filed under the name Chlamydomonas reinhardtii. RNAcentral describes it as "long non-coding RNA (CREI_LNC000776)". Lineage: Eukaryota; Viridiplantae; Chlorophyta; Chlorophyceae; Chlamydomonadales; Chlamydomonadaceae. The record is from RNAcentral.